RNAcentral lists this microRNA precursor (86 nucleotides) under Triticum aestivum (bread wheat). RNAcentral's name for it is "mir-395 microRNA precursor family". It matches the Rfam family "mir-395 microRNA precursor family". Rfam says of the family: mir-395 was identified in both Arabidopsis thaliana and Oryza sativa computationally and was later experimentally verified. mir-395 is thought to target mRNAs coding for ATP sulphurylases. Lineage: Eukaryota; Viridiplantae; Streptophyta; Magnoliopsida; Poales; Poaceae. The record is from Rfam by way of RNAcentral.
GUUUUACCAUGAGUUCCCUGCAAGAACUUCACGAGGCAUUGUUCCAAACGCCGUCGUGAAGUGUUUGGGGGAACUCUUGGUGCCAC